Molecule: ribosomal RNA, 497 nt
Filed under: uncultured bacterium
Lineage: Bacteria
Description: partial 16S ribosomal RNA
Rfam family: Bacterial small subunit ribosomal RNA
Source: RNAcentral
GACGAAUGCUGGCGGCGUGCCUAAUACAUGCAAGUAGAACGCUGAAGAGAGGAGCUUGCUCUUCUUGGAUGAGUUGCGAACGGGUGAGUAACGCGUAGGUAACCUGCCUUGUAGCGGGGGAUAACUAUUGGAAACGAUAGCUAAUACCGCAUAACAAUGGAUGACACAUGUCAUUUAUUUGAAAGGGGCAAUUGCUCCACUACAAGAUGGACCUGCGUUGUAUUAGCUAGUAGGUGAGGUAAUGGCUCACCUAGGCGACGAUACAUAGCGGACCUGAAAGGGUGAUCGGCCACACUGGGACUGAGACACGGCCCAGACUCCUACGGGAGGCAGCAGUAGGGAAUCUUCGGCAAUGGGGGCAACCCUGACCGAGCAACGCCGCGUGAGUGAAGAAGGUUUUCGGAUCGUAAAGCUCUGUUGUAAGUCAAGAACGGGUGUGAGAGUGGAAAGUUCACACUGUGACGGUAGCUUACCAGAAAGGGACGGCUAACUACGUG